RNA transcript from Fragaria vesca subsp. vesca, 520 nucleotides. RefSeq lists it as uncharacterized. The transcript is spliced from 2 exons. NCBI's taxonomy places the organism in Eukaryota, Viridiplantae, Streptophyta, Magnoliopsida, Rosales, Rosaceae. The record is from RefSeq and is a predicted model, not a curated record.
UCUAACGUAGAGGCAAUGAAAUUGUUGUCUUGUUCUGUCCCAAAAUUAUGCUGCUGCUUCUGCUAGGUGUUUGAGAGAACUAGUAGAUAUUUUUCAGUGCAUGGAGGACUGCAAGAGAAUUCUUCCAAUUUUUCAUAAUGUGAGAUAUCAGAAAGGAGUUUUGGAGAAACUUUGGAUAACCAUGAAAGGAUGUCUGUGCGAUACGAAUCUGAGAAGGUCCAGUGGAGAGAUGCUUUAACAAUAGUGGCCAGUUUGGUUGAGUGCGUGGGAUUAACAUAAUUACAAUAAAGUACAACCUAUUGAAAUCAACACGAGAGAUUUUGAAGCAUCGGAACCACCAAUUAUUGAAACUGAGCCUACAAUAUCGGAAUCAAAUGAAGAAUUUGAAGUACUUGAAGCAAGACGACGAGCUACUAAUGUGACUGAAUAUUUUGAACUAGUAGAAGCAACCACACAAACCACUAACGGAAACUGUGAGUUACUCGAUUUUUAGCUCUCUAUUGUCACUUCCUUAUGAUCU